UAUGAAGGCGGGCUGGAACCUCUCGGGGUUACAGCCUUGCUGAAUUAUUCACCCUUGUCUUUUGCGUACUUCUUGUUUCCUUGGUGGGUUCGCCCACCACUAGGACAAACAUAAACCUUUUGUAAUUGCAAUCAGCGUCAGUAACAAAUUAAUAAUU
Molecule: unclassified non-coding RNA, 157 nt
Filed under: Alternaria alternata
Lineage: Eukaryota; Fungi; Ascomycota; Dothideomycetes; Pleosporales; Pleosporaceae
Description: ITS1
Source: RNAcentral